This 460-nucleotide ribosomal RNA is filed under the name uncultured bacterium. RNAcentral's name for it is "partial 16S ribosomal RNA". It matches the Rfam family "Bacterial small subunit ribosomal RNA", at positions 338 to 795 of the family's 1533-position model. The record is from RNAcentral.
CCUACGGGCGGCAGCAGUGAGGAAUAUUGGACAAUGGACGAGAGUCUGAACCAGCGAAGUAGCGUGAAGGAUGACUGCCCUAUGGGUUGUAAACUUCUUUUAUAUGGGAAUAAAACGUUCCACGUGUGGGAUUUUGUAUGUACCAUAUGAAUAAGGAUCGGCUAACUCCGUGCCAGCAGCCGCGGUAAUACGGAGGAUCCGAGCGUUAUCCGGAUUUAUUGGGUUUAAAGGGAGCGUAGGUGGAUUGUUAAGUCAGUUGUGAAAGUUUGCGGCUCAACCGUAAAAUUGCAGUUGAAACUGGCAGUCUUGAGUACAGUAGAGGUGGGCGGAAUUCGUGGUGUAGCGGUGAAAUGCUUAGAUAUCACGAAGAACUCCGAUUGCGAAGGCAGUUCACUGGACUGCAACUGACACUGAGGCUCGAAAGUGUGGGUAUCAAACAGGAUUAGAUACCCGAGUAGUC